ACUGGAGUCAGCACAAUGUAUAGGCGUUUGGGUCUCGGGUGUGUUCCACUGUGUACAAGAUCAUGAGAGGAACAGAUCGGGUAGACGCACAGAGUCUCUUGCCCAGAGUAGGGGAAUUGAGAACCAGAGGUCAUGGGUUUAAGCCAGUUACAUCUUCCUGCACCCAAAUACCAAUCCAGUUCUAUUCCAUUCCACUGUGGCCCAUUCUUAGUCACGUGUGUGACCAACAAGAGGAUAAAUUGUGGACUACAACUCUUCUAAUUCUGAAAGCACCACAGCCCUUCUCAGCCGUCGAGAGCUGCAUGUAAUGCAACUGGAAACAUGAGGAGAAAGGACAGUACUGGCUGUACGUUCAGCUCAGGCACUGCAUGCACCAACGGCAACUCGGAACAUGCUUCAACAGAGCCCUUUAUUAAAGAAUCAUUGCCAACGAAUGGACAAUCCAUCAAAUGCAAAACAAUCCACAGUUUAUGCAUCAUGCAUCUCUAAGCUCUAACUUUAAAUCUCUGACUAUAAUUAAUACUUGAGGAAUUGGCACAAUAUGCCAGGAGCAUUAUUUCCUUUCAGUGCACACAAGUUACAACAUAAAACUUAGAACAGUAAAGCAAAAGGAACAGGCCUUUCGGCCCACAAUGUCUGUGCUGCACAUAAUGCUUGUUUAACUAAUAGCCUCUACCUGCACAUGAUCCAUAUC
Molecule: long non-coding RNA, 694 nt
Organism: Amblyraja radiata (thorny skate)
Lineage: Eukaryota; Metazoa; Chordata; Chondrichthyes; Rajiformes; Rajidae
Exons: 3
Source: RefSeq, a predicted model, not a curated record